GGGGCUGUAGCUCAGUGGUAGAGCACUUGCCUAGCAUGUGUGAGACCUGGGUUCGAUCCUCAGCACCA
Ictidomys tridecemlineatus (thirteen-lined ground squirrel) is the source of this 68-nucleotide non-coding RNA. The record is from Rfam. Lineage: Eukaryota; Metazoa; Chordata; Mammalia; Rodentia; Sciuridae.